Populus nigra (black poplar) is the source of this 1515-nucleotide long non-coding RNA. RefSeq lists it as uncharacterized. The record is from RefSeq and is a predicted model, not a curated record. The transcript has 2 exons. Lineage: Eukaryota; Viridiplantae; Streptophyta; Magnoliopsida; Malpighiales; Salicaceae.
CACUAAUUUAGGAUCAAAACUUUGCUGGCAUAUAUUGUAGUACAAGCAGAAAUGUGUAAAUGUACUGCAUUUUAUAUGCUUACUAUUUAUGCAUGCAUCAAGAUGUGCAGAUCUAUUGCAUUUGAAAGUGAGCUAGCUAGGGGAGGCUUCCUGGAUUGGAGAACCAUCAUUGAGUGCAGCGUUGAUGAAAUCCUACAUUUUGUGCUAUUAAACUGUUACCAGCCCUUUAUGGGGCAUGGCAUCAUUUCACCAGCGCUGCAUUCAAUCAUGUUUUUCUAACUCUUCCGGGCAUGGUUUUGCGUGCAUGUAUCAAGGGGUUGUGAAGAAACUUUUGUUGGAUGUCAAAGGAAAGUGCCGUUGUGGAUCCUAAUAGUGGGUGCGAAACAGGCAUUUGCGUGGUCUGUUGAGCUCACUAUUUGUGAUCCAUGUCUACAGGGCGCUGUAGCUGUUCCUGUGUAGCCCAACUUUGUUUCAUUUUCUUUCGAAAUAUGUAAAAAGCACUUUGAGAGUGAAGUAAAGUAUAUUUACACCAAUGACAAUGAUUCACAGCCUCCUUCACCAUAAAAUGCACAGCUAUAUAUUCUUAUAUAUCUUUUGUGCAAACCUCAUAUUUGUCCCCCAACUAUCUAUUGAUUCUCAUCUAGGUCCCCAAACUAUCAAUUUUCUCAAUGUCUAUUAAUGGUUAAAUGUGUAAGUUGCAUAUAUGACACAAAGUGUAGGUGUGGAUUGAGGAAAGUUUGGCCUUUGUUUAGGAAAAAGUGGGAGGAUUUUAAAUGGGGGACCCAAUUGAGAAAUUUAUGAUAACUUUGCUGACCCAAUUGAUAAAGUUGAUAGUUGGGGACUACAUUGAGAGUCAGUUCAUAGUUAGGCAACUAGUUUGUAGUCUCUCUUUUUUCUGAACAUUUCUUUUCUUUGAAUGAAUCCAGUUCAACUCCCAGGAACCCAAAACCCAAACCCAGGUCCAGUGAGCCACAAAACCAGUCGCAGGCUUAUUUUCCAGGCUGAUCAUGCAGUGCUGGCGCACUGAUCAUCAGAAUAAACACAAAUUAGAUUAACCUUUUUUGCUCUGUCAGCUGCCCUACUGCUCAUCAGAAUUAACAUAAAUUAGAGAAACUUUUUCUUUUUUUUUUCUCUGUCCAUUCCCAUUUAAAAAGUUUCAAGAAGAUUGCUACAGUUUUUGAGGCUCACAGAAGAACCACCAUGUGCCCUAUCCUUGUACUGUCCCAUGUAUUGUUAGAAACUUGAAAGGCAUCUUGAAGCAUUGGAAUCAGAGAUACGAGGGCCCAGUGGUACCAGACAAGUCAAAUCUCUACAUAUUUUCAGUUCAGUUUUUCGAUGCCUGGACAAGCUUCAAGCAUGGCAUAGCAAAUGCACCUCUGCCUUUAUCCCACAUCUUUUCAUUUCAUUCACCCAUUUUUAGGUCCCGUGUAAGUUCUAAGCAUGAUAGAAUCUAAAAUAACGUUUAAUUACUGCUUCGAAAUAAAAAAAAAAAUAAAGAUAUUCAAGACGAAAAAA